Molecule: ribosomal RNA, 450 nt
Filed under: uncultured bacterium
Lineage: Bacteria
Description: partial 16S ribosomal RNA
Rfam family: Bacterial small subunit ribosomal RNA
Source: RNAcentral
AACGAACGCUGGCGGCAGGCCUAACACAUGCAAGUCGAACGGGUGUAGCAAUACAUCAGAGGCGCACGGGAGAGUAACGCGUGGGAACCUACCUUUUGGUUCGGAAUAACGUCGGGAAACUGACGCUAAUACCGGAUACGCCCUACGGGGGAAAGAUUUAUCGCCGAAAGAUGGGCCCGCGUAGAUUAGCUUGUUGGUGAGGUAACGGCUCACCAAGGCUACGAUCUAUAGCUGGUCUAAGAGGAUGAUCAGCCUCACUGGGACUGAGACACGGCCCAGACUCCUACGGGAGGCAGCAGUGGGGAAUAUUGGACAAUGGGGGCAACCCUGAUCCAGCCAUGCCGCGUGAAUGAUGAAGGCCUUCGGGUUGUAAAGUUCUUUUGGCGGGGACGAUGAUGACGGUACCCGCAGAAUAAGCUCCGGCUAACUUCGUGCCAGCCGCCGCCGUAA